This 492-nucleotide ribosomal RNA is filed under the name uncultured bacterium. RNAcentral describes it as "partial 16S ribosomal RNA". It matches the Rfam family "Bacterial small subunit ribosomal RNA", at positions 29 to 507 of the family's 1533-position model. The record is from RNAcentral.
AGUGAACGCUGGCGGUAGGCCUAACACAUGCAAGUCGAACGGCAGCACAGUAAGAGCCUGCUCUUACGGGUGGCGAGUGGCGGACGGGUGCGGAAUACAUCGGAAUCUACUUUUUCGUGGGGGCUAACGUAGGGAAACUUACGCUAAUACCGCAUACGACCUACGGGUGAAAGCAGGGGAUCUUAGGCUCUUACGUGAUUGUAUGAGCCGAUGUCGGAUUAGCUAGUUGGCGGGGUAAAGGCCCACCAAGGCGACGAUCCGUAGCUGGUCUGAGAGGAUGAUCAGCCACACUGGAACUGAGACACGGUCCAGACUCCUACGGGAGGCAGCAGUGGGGAAUAUUGGACAAUGGGCGCAAGCCUGAUCCAGCCAUGCCGCGUGGGUGAAGAAGGCCUUCGGGUUGUAAAGCCCUUUUGGUGGGAAAGAAAAGCAGCAGGUUAAUACCCCGCUGUUCUGACGGUACCCAAAGAAUAAGCACCGGCUAACUUCGUG